GCCAAGCACAGUGGCAUAUGCCUGUAGUCCCAGCUACUCAGGAGGCUGAGGUGAGAGGAUUGCUUGAGCCCAGGAGUUCUGGGCUGCAAUGGGCUAUGUGGAUCAGGUGUCGGCACUAAGUUCGGCAUCAAUUUGGUGACCUCCUGGGAGCAGGGCACCACCAGAAUCCCUAAGGAGGGGUGAACCGGCCCAGGUCAGAAAUGGAGCAGGUCGAAACUCCCAUGCUGAUCAGUAGUGGGAUUGCGCCUGUGAACAGCCACUGCACUCCAGCCUGGGCAACAUAGUGAGACCCCAUCUCU
RNAcentral lists this signal recognition particle RNA (299 nucleotides) under Saimiri boliviensis boliviensis (Bolivian squirrel monkey). Its description in RNAcentral is "Metazoan signal recognition particle RNA (ENSSBOG00000006588.1)". It matches the Rfam family "Metazoan signal recognition particle RNA". Rfam says of the family: The signal recognition particle (SRP) is a universally conserved ribonucleoprotein. Lineage: Eukaryota; Metazoa; Chordata; Mammalia; Primates; Cebidae. The record is from RNAcentral.